This 253-nucleotide ribosomal RNA is filed under the name uncultured bacterium. Its description in RNAcentral is "partial 16S ribosomal RNA". It matches the Rfam family "Bacterial small subunit ribosomal RNA", at positions 524 to 776 of the family's 1533-position model. The record is from RNAcentral.
UACGAAGGGUGCUAGCGUUGUUCGGAAUUACUGGGCGUAAAGCGCACGUAGGCGGAUACUUAAGUCAGGGGUGAAAUCCCGGGGCUCAACCCCGGAACUGCCUUUGAUACUGGGUAUCUCGAGUCCGGAAGAGGUGAGUGGAAUUCCGAGUGUAGAGGUGAAAUUCGUAGAUAUUCGGAGGAACACCAGUGGCGAAGGCGGCUCACUGGUCCGGUACUGACGCUGAGGUGCGAAAGCGUGGGGAGCAAACAGG